AGAGUUUGAUCAUGGCUCAGAAUCAACGCUGGCGGCGUGCCUAACACAUGCAAGUCGAACGCGAAAGUCCCGCAAGGGGCAAGUAGAGUGGCAAACGGGUGAGUAACACGUGGGUGACCUGCCUUCGAGCGGGGGAUAACGUCCCGAAAGGGACGCUAAUACCGCAUAACAUCCUGCCUUUGAAGAGGUGGAGAUUAAAGCUGGGGAUCGCAAGACCCGGCACUUGAAGAGGGGCCCGCGUCUGAUUAGCUAGUUGGUGGGGUAAUGGCCUACCAAGGCAACGAUCAGUAUCCGGCCUGAGAGGGCGGACGGACACACUGGGACUGAGACACGGCCCAGACUCCUACGGGAGGCAGCAGUGGGGAAUUGUUCGCAAUGGGCGCAAGCCUGACGACGCAACGCCGCGUGGAGGAUGAAGAUCUUCGGGUCGUAAACUCCUGUCGAAUGGGACGAACGGGUUGCGGGGUAACAUCCCGCGACCGUGACGGUACCGUAAAGA
This 499-nucleotide ribosomal RNA is filed under the name uncultured Acidobacteriaceae bacterium. RNAcentral describes it as "bacterial SSU rRNA". It matches the Rfam family "Bacterial small subunit ribosomal RNA", at positions 8 to 488 of the family's 1533-position model. The record is from RNAcentral. Lineage: Bacteria; Pseudomonadati; Acidobacteriota; Terriglobia; Terriglobales; Acidobacteriaceae.